UACAAGGUGUUGAAAGCGUUCCACAGGGACUCUACAAGGUGUUGAAAGCCUUCCACAGGGACUCUACAAGGUGUUGAAAGCCUUCCACAGGGUCUCUACAAGGUGUUGAAAGCCUUCCACAGGGUCUCUACAAGGUGUUGAAAGCCUUCCACAGGGUCUCUACAAGGUGUUGAAAGCCUUCCACAGGGUCUCUACAAGGUGUUGAAAGCCUUCCACAGGGACUCUACAAGGUGUUGAAAGCCUUCCACAGGGUCUCUACAAGGUGUUGAAAGCCUUCCACAGGGUCUCUACAAGGUGUUGAAAGCCUUCCACAGGGACUCUACAAGGUGUUGAAAGCCUUCCACAGGGUCUCUACAAGGUGUUGAAAGCCUUCCACAGGGUCUCUACAAGGUGUUGAAAGCCUUCCACAGGGUCUCUACAAGGUGUUGAAAGCCUUCCACAGGGUCUCUACAAGGUGUUGAAAGCCUUCCACAGGGACUCUACAAGGUGUUGAAAGCCUUCCACAGGGUCUCUACAAGGUGUUGAAAGCCUUCCACAGGGACUCUACAAGGUGUUGAAAGCGUUCCACAGGGAUGCUGGCCCAU
This is a long non-coding RNA of Oncorhynchus keta (chum salmon), 584 nucleotides long. RefSeq lists it as uncharacterized. The transcript is spliced from 5 exons. Lineage: Eukaryota; Metazoa; Chordata; Actinopteri; Salmoniformes; Salmonidae. The record is from RefSeq and is a predicted model, not a curated record.